AACAACGCAUCGGAAAAGUUCGUUCCAAUGAAAAUCAGUCAUGCUUUGUUUUUUAUAUUUUUCACUUCGUGUUGGUAAUAAUGUCUUCUCUGCCGUCAGAUGGUGAAGGUCAGUGUCGCUCUUUAAGAUUCACUUGUUCUCCCAUUCAUGGCUACCGUCUGAAGAAUCACACAAUACGAACUAUUGAUGUGUCUAAUGAAGAUGUGUGCGAACUCCAGUGUUAUCUGGAACCUAACUGUGUUAGUUAUAAUUUCAACAAGACGAAUCAGGAAUCUGGGCUACACAAGUGUGAGUGAAUAACGCUACUUACGAUCAUGCGCACCGAGGAGAUCUUAAGAAAAACAGGAAAUAUUUGUAACGAGGAGCUGAGAAUGCCUGCUCGAGAAAUCCUUGCAAAAAUAACGCAACAUGUCAAGCUGGUUUUACAGAGAGAGAUUAUCAGUGUUUGUGUACUGCCGGAUUUGAAGGCCACGACUGUCAUUCGGGUAAGGAAUUGUUAAGUUAUGCGGAUGAAUACACAUCAGCGAAAGAGCAGAG
Molecule: long non-coding RNA, 537 nt
Organism: Stylophora pistillata
Lineage: Eukaryota; Metazoa; Cnidaria; Anthozoa; Scleractinia; Pocilloporidae
Source: RefSeq, a predicted model, not a curated record